CAGUAGCCACGGUAAUACGGAGGGGGCUAGCGUUGUUCGGAAUUACUGGGCGUAAAGCGCACGUAGGCGGCUUGGUAAGUUAGAGGUGAAAGCCCGGAGCUCAACUCCGGAAUUGCCUUUAAGACUGCCGAGCUAGUAGGUGAGAGAGGUAAGUGGAAUUCCGAGUGUAGAGGUGAAAUUCGUAGAUAUUCGGAAGAACACCAGUGGCGAAGGCGGCUUACUGGCUCAUUCUAGACGCUGAGGUGCGAAAGCGUGGGGAGCAAACAGGAUUAGAUACCCGCGUAGUCCCUGUCUCUUAUAC
Molecule: ribosomal RNA, 301 nt
Filed under: uncultured bacterium
Lineage: Bacteria
Description: partial 16S ribosomal RNA
Rfam family: Bacterial small subunit ribosomal RNA
Source: RNAcentral